This 253-nucleotide ribosomal RNA is filed under the name uncultured bacterium. RNAcentral describes it as "partial 16S ribosomal RNA". It matches the Rfam family "Bacterial small subunit ribosomal RNA", at positions 524 to 776 of the family's 1533-position model. The record is from RNAcentral.
UACGUAGGGUGCAAGCGUUGUCCGGAAUUAUUGGGCGUAAAGAACUCGUAGGCGGUUCGUCGCGUCGGCUGUGAAAUCCCGAGGCUCAACCUCGGGUCUGCAGUCGAUACGGGCGGACUGGAGUUCGGCAGGGGAGACUGGAAUUCCUGGUGUAGCGGUGAAAUGCGCAGAUAUCAGGAGGAACACCGGUGGCGAAGGCGGGUCUCUGGGCCGAUACUGACGCUGAGGAGCGAAAGCGUGGGGAGCGAACAGG